Molecule: RNA transcript, 645 nt
Organism: Cyanistes caeruleus (blue tit)
Lineage: Eukaryota; Metazoa; Chordata; Aves; Passeriformes; Paridae
Source: RefSeq, a predicted model, not a curated record
GUUCCGUGCUGGGAACGGGUGCUGUGCCAGUUCACACCGUUCCGAGCCGUUCCGCGCUGGGAACGGGUGCUGUGCCAGUUCACACCGCUCCGAGCCGUUCCGUGCUGGGAACGGGUGCUGUUCCACCGGCACACUAUUGCAGUCUGAAGUGCUUCUGCAGGGAAAGUUGGCCCUGGCAUAGUCUGGCUUGGGUUGAAGGUCUGCUUUCAUUUCCAGUCCUGCCUUGCAAUGGAAAAAGGCAGAUACAGCAUCCCUGAGUCUGGAGUCGCCUUCACCUGCGCUUCCCAGGGCUGCAGAACGCAUUUCAGUGCCCAUCACCACAUUAUCCAGGCGCCACCAGAAGAUUAGGAAGCUUUGCAGUGACAUUCUCAACCAGAUAUUUACCUGGAUUUGCGACUGGUCCUGUGGCCACAGCUGAAGGGAAAUGCCCCUCUCUGGUGUCACCCAGGCAGGAAUCUGUGGAUCAGAAGAUCAGGAGAGCACUGGGAACACAGCUACUGCCCUGAUUAGCAGUUUCAGUCUUGUAAGAGCACUCGUUUUGCUCUCUCAAGGAGGUGGCUCUUUGUUGGCAGCUGGAGCCUAGGAAAGGCUGAGCCCUGCAAUGUGGGGGAGUCACUGCAAUGAGGCUGCAGCCCCCUGCCCAGC